UACAGAGGGGCAAGCGUUAUUCGGAAUUAUUGGGCGUAAAGGGCGCGUAGGCGGCUUUGCAAGUGACGGGUGAAAUCCCUCGGCUUAACCGAGGAACUGCCUGUCAGACUGCAUGGCUUGAGACCGGGGAGAGGUGAGUGGAAUUCCCAGUGUAGCGGUGAAAUGCGUAGAUAUCCGGAGGAACACCGGUGGCGAAGGCGGCAUCCUGGACCGGCAUUGACGCGUGAGG
Molecule: ribosomal RNA, 229 nt
Filed under: uncultured bacterium
Lineage: Bacteria
Description: partial 16S ribosomal RNA
Rfam family: Bacterial small subunit ribosomal RNA
Source: RNAcentral